UUUUUUUCUUUCUACAUCUGCCGGCAGAGUUGGUGUCAUCUAUUGCCGCGUUCAGUUUCGCAAUAGAUUUAGUUGCCUGCUGAAAGGUUGCCGAGUCACAUUUACAGGUGACCUCAGCAGCUACUCUGGGGAAAAGUAAAGUCCACGUAUCUUAGGAACACAACCGCUUGAAUUACGAAGAUAUGAACGAAGUUUCGAUUCGAGAAAUAUUCCAAGCAUUUAGGAACUCAGCAUCCUGAAAGAUAGGUAUAAUCGAUUCCGUUGUAGGGAUCGUGUAAUGUUAUUUACAUACCCGCAUCAGUUGGCAUUUGGGAAGGAACGUCGUUAGAAAAAAAAGUUAUAAUCUUUUUUUUUUAAUUUGUGAUGACCCUGCUCUCUGCGUCUAAAAUAAACCCGAACGUAA
RNAcentral lists this long non-coding RNA (403 nucleotides) under Neodiprion lecontei (redheaded pine sawfly). RNAcentral's name for it is "uncharacterized LOC124292730". Lineage: Eukaryota; Metazoa; Arthropoda; Insecta; Hymenoptera; Diprionidae. The record is from RNAcentral.